AUAAAUUUUUUUGGGGAAAAAAUUGAGCAGGGAGUCAUUUUUUCAUUUUCAUCUGCGUUUUAUUCCGAAAUUGCUACUUAACCUCAAAAUCAUUCAAUUUUGACGUUUCCUACCUGUGCUUUAAGUUGCUCAUGCGCAUAUUUACCAAACAUAUUACUCAUCCAAUUUGAAUGUUACUUUUCGCACUUUAUUGUUGACGAAUAAACAAAAUUCCGUUCUAAAAUUGUUAUAAAAUUUUUAGUGUUGAUGUCCGCAUACAUUUUCAAUGAUUUCUAGACGUGAAAGAAUAGAAACGAUCGAAAGGUGCAUAAUGUGGAUUAAUAAACAGAAUGAGCUCUCUUCACAGACAAGUCUGAACAUGAAUGAGGUAGGUUAUCCACAGUUUAUGUAUGACAGGUAUCUAGGAAUCUAGGUAUAUUGCAUGGUAGACUUGUGACUUUUGUGUGUACCUAACUGUAUUCAUUUAUUUAUUCGCACUGUUUAUUUGAAAAUUGCUUUUUUAAUAAGUAUGUGUAAACACUAAUGAUUAAAUAAGUAAAUAA
Molecule: long non-coding RNA, 542 nt
Organism: Coccinella septempunctata (seven-spotted ladybird)
Lineage: Eukaryota; Metazoa; Arthropoda; Insecta; Coleoptera; Coccinellidae
Exons: 2
Source: RefSeq, a predicted model, not a curated record